This 274-nucleotide ribosomal RNA is filed under the name uncultured bacterium. RNAcentral describes it as "partial 16S ribosomal RNA". It matches the Rfam family "Bacterial small subunit ribosomal RNA", at positions 523 to 796 of the family's 1533-position model. The record is from RNAcentral.
AUACGGAGGGAGCAAGCGUUAUUCGGAAUCACUGGGCGUAAAGGACGCGUAGGCGGGUUUGUAAGUCAGGUGUGAAAUCCUACAGCUCAACUGUAGAACAGCACUUGAAACUACAGACCUAGAGUAUGGAAGGGGCAGAUGGAAUUAGUGGUGUAGGGGUAAAAUCCGUAGAUAUCACUAGGAAUACCGAAAGCGAAGGCGAUCUGCUGGGACAUUACUGACGCUGAGGCGUGAAAGCGUGGGGAGCAAACAGGAUUAGAUACCCGAGUAGUCC